GAGUUUGAUCCUGGCUCAGAACGAACGCUGGCGGCAGGCUUAACACAUGCAAGUCGAACGCCCCGCAAGGGGAGUGGCAGACGGGUGAGUAACGCGUGGGAAUCUACCGUACCCUACGGAAUAACGCAUGGAAACGUGUGCUAAUACCGUAUACGCCCUACGGGGGAAAGAUUUAUCGGGGUAUGAUGAGCCCGCGUUGGAUUAGCUAGUUGGUGGGGUAAAGGCCUACCAAGGCGACGAUCCAUAGCUGGUCUGAGAGGAUGAUCAGCCACAUUGGGACUGAGACACGGCCCAAACUCCUACGGGAGGCAGCAGUGGGGAAUAUUGGACAAUGGGCGCAAGCCUGAUCCAGCCAUGCCGCGUGAGUGAUGAAGGUCUUAGGAUUGUAAAGCUCUUUCACCGAUGAAGAUAAUGACGGUAGUCGGAGAAGAAGCCCCGGCUAACUUCGUGCCAGCAGCCGCGGUAAUACGAAGGGGGCUAGCGUUGUUCGGAAUUACUGGGCGUAAAGCGCACGUAGGCGGAUAUUUAAGUCAGGGGUGAAAUCCCGCAGCUCAACUGCGGAACUGCCUUUGAUACUGGGUAUCUCGAGUAUGGAAGAGGUGAGUGGAAUUCCGAGUGUAGAGGUGAAAUUCGUAGAUAUUCGGAGGAACACCAGUGGCGAAGGCGGCUCACUGGUCCAUUACUGACGCUGAGGUGCGAAAGCGUGGGGA
Molecule: ribosomal RNA, 710 nt
Filed under: Rhizobiaceae bacterium KAs5-R4
Lineage: Bacteria; Pseudomonadati; Pseudomonadota; Alphaproteobacteria; Hyphomicrobiales; Rhizobiaceae
Description: bacterial SSU rRNA
Rfam family: Bacterial small subunit ribosomal RNA
Source: RNAcentral